Myotis lucifugus (little brown bat) is the source of this 562-nucleotide long non-coding RNA. RefSeq lists it as uncharacterized. The transcript is spliced from 3 exons. The record is from RefSeq and is a predicted model, not a curated record. Lineage: Eukaryota; Metazoa; Chordata; Mammalia; Chiroptera; Vespertilionidae.
GCUGAUUUUUUUUUUUUAUUGUUCUUUUAGGUUGGUGAGACGGAGACCAGACUGGAAUGUUUGCUAAAUAAUAACAAAAACUCAGAUUUCUGUGCUCCUCUGACCUCCUUUGACUGGAAUGAAGUAGAUCCUUAUCUUUUAGGUACCUCCAGCAUUGAUACAACUUGUACCAUCUGGGGGCUGGAGACAGGGCAGGUGUUGGGGCGAGUGAAUCUUGUGUCUGGCCAUGUGAAGACCCAACUGAUUGCCCAUGAUAAAGAGGUCUAUGAUAUCGCAUUUAGCCGGGCUGGCGGUGGUAGGGACAUGUUUGCCUCUGUGGGUGCUGAUGGCUCGGUGCGGAUGUUUGACCUCCGCCAUCUAGAACACAGCACCAUCAUUUAUGAAGACCCACAGCAUCACCCACUGCUUCGCCUCUGCUGGAACAAGCAGGACCCUAACUACCUGGCCACUAUGGCCAUGGAUGGAAUGGAGGUGAGCACCCUGUUUCAGGCUAGCAUGGGCCUUGCAGCCUAACUCUGGCACUAAGUAUAUCUAGAACAGUGGUUCUCAACUGGUGGCAGAU